UUACGGCCACAUCAGUUGGAAAUACUGGUACCCGUACGAUCAACGAAGUUAAACAAUAUCGAGUCUGGUCAGUACCUCGAUGGUUGACCGCUUCGAAAUGCCUUGUGUG
Molecule: ribosomal RNA, 109 nt
Filed under: Acanthosepion pharaonis
Lineage: Eukaryota; Metazoa; Mollusca; Cephalopoda; Sepiida; Sepiidae
Source: RNAcentral